CCCCAAAUCAGGAACUCUCCUUUUCUAAUUCUCCCUUACAGAUGUUUUUUCCUUUGGGGACAGCGUGAAAAUACUGCCAUCAAUGAUUACCUUUCUAGGAUUGCUAAUAUUAAGAUAUUUCAAAUAACCUUUCAGAUAACCACUGAAAACUUCAUUCCUUGUUCCCAUCAUAGCUCCAGUAUCUAGAAUGGCUCCUGGCACUACCAGGGCCUGAAUAAAUAUGUGCUGAAUGGGAUCAUGAAUGGGUGAAUAUAUAACAUUCAGACUUUGGGAUAUUAUGAAUACUAUUCAUGUUUGGUUUUCAUUGUUAAAUUUUUGAUAGUAGCCCCUAGAAACACAUCAAGAAACUGUAUAAUUCUCUGUGUAUAGGUGUAGAGUGUUAAUAACAUGUCAACCCCACUGCCCGCCAUCGUGCCCGCCACCCUGAAGGCCACUGCUGUGGUGAUUUUCCUGCAUGGAUUGGGAGAUACUGGGCAUGGAUGGGCAGAAGCCUUUGCAGGUAUCAGAAGUUCACAUAUCAAAUAUAUCUGCCCGCAUGCGCCUGUUAGGCCUGUUACAUUAAAUAUGAACAUGGCUAUGCCUUCAUGGUUUGAUAUUAUUGGACUUUCACCAGAUUCACAGGAGGAUGAAUCUGGGAUUAAACAGGCAGCAGAAAAUAUAAAAGCUUUGAUUGAUCAAGAAGUGAAGAAUGGCAUUCCUUCUAACAGAACUAUUUUGGGAGGGUUUUCUCAGGGAGGAGCUUUAUCUUUAUAUACUGCCCUUACCACGCAGCAGAAACUGGCAGGUGUCACUGCACUCAGUUGCUGGCUUCCACUUCGGGCUUCCUUUCCACAGGGUCCUAUCAGUGGUGCUAAUAGAGAUAUUUCUAUUCUCCAGUGCCAUGGGGAUUAUGACCCUUUAGUUCCCCUGAUGUUUGGUUCUCUUACGGUUGAAAAACUAAAAACAUUGGUGAAUCCAGCCAAUGUGACCUUUAAAACCUAUGAAGGUAUGAUGCACAGUUCGUGUCAACAGGAAAUGAUGGAUGUCAAGCAAUUCAUUGAUAAACUCCUACCUCCAAUUGAUUGACGUCACUAAGAGGCCUUGUGUAGAAGUACACCAGCAUCAUUGUAGUAGAGUAUAAACCUUUUCCCACGCCCAGUCUUCAAAUUUCGAAUGUUUUGCAGUGUUAAAAUGUUUUGCAAAUACAUGCCAGUGACACAGAUCAAAUAAUGUCUCCUCAUGAGAAAUUUAUGAUCUUUUAAGUUUCUAUACAUGUAUUCUUAUAAGAAGACCCAGGAUCUACUAUAUUAGAAUAGAUGAAGCAGGUAGCUUCUUUUUUCUCAAAUGUAAUUCAGCAAAAUAAUACAGUACUGCCACCAGAUUUUUUAUUACAUCAUUUGAAAAUUAGCAGUAUGCUUAAUGAAAAUUUGUUCAGGUAUAAAUGAGCAGUUAAGGUAUAAACAAUUUAUGCAUGCUGUGACUUAGUCUAUGGAUUUAUUCCAAAAUUGCUUAGUCACCAUGCAGUAUCUGUAUUUUUAUAUAUGUGUUCAUAUAUACAUAAUGAUUGUAAUACAUAAUAAGAAUGAGGUGAUAUUACAUUGUUCCUAAUAAUAGGGAUAAUGCUGUUUAUUGUCAAGAAAAAGUAAAAUUGUUCUCAUCAAUUAAUGGCCCUUUUAU
RNA transcript from Nomascus leucogenys (northern white-cheeked gibbon), 1656 nucleotides. It is a transcript of the gene named acyl-protein thioesterase 1 pseudogene, with no coding region annotated. NCBI's taxonomy places the organism in Eukaryota, Metazoa, Chordata, Mammalia, Primates, Hylobatidae. The record is from RefSeq and is a predicted model, not a curated record. The transcript has a single exon.